CUUCGCUGCAGGCAGGAAAGAAAGAAGAAAGAUCUGGGGAUAUAAAUAGCUUGACAAGCUGCUGAAUUCUUGGAACUGGAUGAUUUCGGAAAAGCCGCGGUGGAUAACACAUUUCAUGCUGGAAGCGUGCGUGGAGGUGGUGUGAGGUUUUGCUGCCUACAAGUCUGCAGCGGAGCGUCUUCAGCAACUGAAACGGAAAACAGACUUCGCCUCUCCCGGCUCCUUCCCGAUGCGAACCAAUCCG
RNAcentral lists this long non-coding RNA (244 nucleotides) under Apteryx owenii (little spotted kiwi). RNAcentral's name for it is "lncRNA (ENSAOWG00000012981.1)". The record is from RNAcentral. Lineage: Eukaryota; Metazoa; Chordata; Aves; Apterygiformes; Apterygidae.